This 422-nucleotide ribosomal RNA is filed under the name uncultured prokaryote. Its description in RNAcentral is "bacterial SSU rRNA". It matches the Rfam family "Bacterial small subunit ribosomal RNA", at positions 355 to 774 of the family's 1533-position model. The record is from RNAcentral.
UGAGGAAUAUUGGUCAAUGGGCGCAAGCCUGAACCAGCCAUCCCGCGUGAAGGAAGAAUGCGCUAUGCGUUGUAAACUUCUUUUCCAGGGGAAUAAAAUUUCGUACGAGUACGGGACUGAAGGUACCUUGGGAAUAAGCAUCGGCUAACUCCGUGCCAGCAGCCGCGGUAAUACGGAGGAUGCGAGCGUUAUCCGGAUUUAUUGGGUUUAAAGGGUGCGUAGGCGGAAAAAUAAGUCAAUGGUGAAAACCUUCAGCUUAACUGGAGACUUGCCAUUGAUACUGUUAUUCUUGAGUAUAGUUAAGGUAGGCGGAAUGUGUAAUGUAGCGGUGAAAUGCUUAGAUAUUACACAGAACACCAAGUGCGAAGGGAGAUUACUGAGCUAGAAAUGAUGCUGGGACGCGAAAGCGUGGGGAGCAAACA